Molecule: ribosomal RNA, 366 nt
Filed under: uncultured organism
Description: bacterial SSU rRNA
Rfam family: Bacterial small subunit ribosomal RNA
Source: RNAcentral
CGGAGGAUCCAAGCGUUAUCCGGAAUCAUUGGGUUUAAAGGGUCCGUAGGCGGUUUGGUAAGUCAGUGGUGAAAGCCCAUCGCUCAACGGUGGAACGGCCAUUGAUACUGCCAGACUUGAAUUAUUAGGAAGUAACUAGAAUAUGUAGUGUAGCGGUGAAAUGCUUAGAGAUUACAUGGAAUACCAAUUGCGAAGGCAGGUUACUACUAAUGGAUUGACGCUGAUGGACGAAAGCGUGGGUAGCGAACAGGAUUAGAUACCCUGGUAGUCCACGCCGUAAACGAUGGAUACUAGCUGUUGGGAGCAAUCUCAGUGGCUAAGCGAAAGUGAUAAGUAUCCCACCUGGGGAGUACGUUCGCAAGAAUG